Non-coding RNA from Paramuricea clavata, 873 nucleotides. The record is from the annotation of a GenBank genome assembly. Lineage: Eukaryota; Metazoa; Cnidaria; Anthozoa; Malacalcyonacea; Plexauridae.
UAUCUAUCUAUCUAUCUAUCUGCUAUUUAUCUUUACAACAAUUGUGAUUACUUUCUUAACUGUGUUUAUCCUAACCAACUUUCCCUGUGGGAGAAAACCGGAGUGCAUGGAAAAAACCCAGAACUUUUGGCAGAGCGUUGACUGACACAUCUUUUCACAUGAGGCCGUAGUGAGAAUCCAACCCACAAUCCUAGAGGUGAAGGCGCUUGCUCUAAUGACUGUGCCACCAAAGUAGAGAGUCAACUGAACUAGUUAGGUGAAUGUUAGGGUGUCUAUUGCACUGAAUGCUCUGACGACUGUGCCACCAAACUAGAGAAUCAACUGAACUAGUUAGGUGAAUGUUAGGGUGUCUAUUGCACUGAAUGCUCUGACGACUGUGCCACCAAACUAGAGAGUCAACUGAACUAGUUAGGUGAAUGUUAGGGUGUCUAUUGCACUGAAUGCUCUGAUGACUGUGCCACCAAACUAGAGAAUCAACUAAACUAGUUAGGUGAAUGUUAGGGUGUCUAUUGCACUGAAUGCUCUGAUGACUGUGCCACCAAACUAGAGAGUCAACUGAACUAGUUAGGUGAAUGUUAGGGUGUCUAUUGCACUGAAUGCUCAUCAGACUUCACCACCAAACUAGAGAGUCAACUGAACUAGUUAGGUGAAUGUUAGGGUGUCUAUUGCACUGAAUGCUCAUCAGACUUCACCACCAAACUAGAGAAUCAACUGAACUAGUUAGGUGAAUGUUAGGGUGUCUAUUGCACUGAAUGCUCUGACGACUGUGCCACCAAACUAGAGAGUCAGCUGAACUAGUUAGGUGAAUGUUAGGGUGUCUAUUGCACUGAAUUAAUGCUCUGACGACUGUGCCACCAAACUAGAGAGUCAACU